RNAcentral lists this ribosomal RNA (402 nucleotides) under Triticum aestivum (bread wheat). RNAcentral describes it as "partial small subunit ribosomal RNA". Lineage: Eukaryota; Viridiplantae; Streptophyta; Magnoliopsida; Poales; Poaceae. The record is from RNAcentral.
GACCCAUUGUCUUAUCCCCUAUUCUAUCCAAGGGGGGAACUAGGUUGGCAUCCGAAGCUACCUAAACGUAAUGUUCCUUGGGAGGUUGUACUAAAUCCUCAAUUGGGCCUUGAUGAUGACGAUGAUGCAGAGGGGAAUAGUAGGUUGUACGUCUCUGUCAGAGACUACUACUGUUACAUGCUGCAGACACGGCCUGCCAUUUUCAAUCCCAUACUCUGUGGAGCACGCCUGCUGCAGCAAUGGGUGGUUGACAUGUAUGUCAAGAUUGAGAGUUGUCGGUUGAGGUGGUUCAGGAAGAACCAGACGCAGAUUCGGGCCGACUUGUAUAAAGGAGUUGUUGAUGCGAUCACAUCGGGCGAGACGCGAGCAAGCGCUGUUGGGACAAGAACAGUGCUCCCUGGA